Molecule: ribosomal RNA, 164 nt
Filed under: uncultured bacterium
Lineage: Bacteria
Description: partial 16S ribosomal RNA
Rfam family: Bacterial small subunit ribosomal RNA
Source: RNAcentral
UAGGGAAUCUUCCACAAUGGGCGCAAGCCUGAUGGAGCAACACCGCGUGAGUGAAGAAGGGUUUCGGCUCGUAAAGCUCUGUUGGUAGAGAAGAACGUGGGUAAGAGUAACUGUUUACCCAGUGACGGUAUUUAACCAGAAAGGAACGGCUAAAUACGUGCCAA